Molecule: ribosomal RNA, 599 nt
Filed under: uncultured soil bacterium
Lineage: Bacteria
Description: bacterial SSU rRNA
Rfam family: Bacterial small subunit ribosomal RNA
Source: RNAcentral
AGAGUUUGAUCAUGGCUCAGGAUAAACGCUGGCGGCGUGCCUAACACAUGCAAGUCGAACGCGCUGAGCAAUCAGCGAGUGGCGGACGGGUGAGUAACACAUAGGUCACCUACCCCGAAGUGAGGAAUACCGGCGAGAAAUCGCCGACAAGACCGCAUAGGCUUCGCGAGAAGCAAAGUCGCAAGACGCUUUGGGAUGGGCCUGUGGCCGAUUAGCUGGUUGGUGGGGUAAUGGCCUACCAAGACGACGAUCGGUAGCUGGUCUGAGAGGAUGAUCAGCCACACUGGGAUUGAGAACGGCCCAGACUCCUACGGGAGGCAGCAGUGAGGAAUUUUCGGCAAUGGGCAAAAGCCUGACCGAGCAACGCCGCGUGCAGGACGAAGGUCUUCGGAUCGUAAACUGCUUUUCUCGGGGAAGAGAAUGGACGGUACCCGAGGAAGAAGCCUCGGCUAGCUACGUGCCAGCAGCCGCGGUAAGACGUAGGAGGCAAGUGUUGUCCGGAGUUACUGGGCGUAAAGCGCCCGCAGGGCGGUCUGUUAAGUUCAGGGUGACAGUCAUCAGCUUAACUGGUGAAGUGUCUUGAAAACUGACGGACUUGA